This 115-nucleotide ribosomal RNA is filed under the name Beta vulgaris subsp. vulgaris (sugar beet). The record is from RNAcentral. Lineage: Eukaryota; Viridiplantae; Streptophyta; Magnoliopsida; Caryophyllales; Amaranthaceae.
UGGUGUGAUCAUACCAGCACUAAUGCACCAGAUCCCAUCAGAACACCAUAGUUAAGCGUGCUUGGGCGAGAGUAGUACUAGGGUGACCUCCUAGGAAGUCCUUGUACCAGAUCCC